UAACCAAUAGAAAAUGGUGGCGAGCAAGUCACACAAGCUACAACUAGUAGGAGUAGCGCUACCAUAAUGCAAGCAAUAAGUGCUAUUUUCACUUUAAGGACAUACCAAACUCUAUAAGUGCCACUGAGGGUAAACAACGGAAGAGACAUUCGUGGAGUCAAAGAGCCGAUGAAAAUGAUUUAUACCAGAUGAUGAGACACAACCACUAACAAUGAGGAGAGAAAAUGCAUUGCAAAAACGUGUAAACACGGCACCCCAAAAAACAAAACUGAAGCCUUCACGGCCUAAAAGAUAAAACAAGUUAAGCUUAAAUAAAAGUAAAAAAACGAAAGAAAGAAAAAAGAAAAGUAAACGGCUCUGCACCGUUUCAAAGUAUGAAUUGGGGCCUGAAAUCAUGCACCGUAUUGUGGACAAUUGCUGAGCUGAGUAUUGGCAUUUUUGGGCACAACACAGCCCGUGCAUAAUUACUUUCUUAAUCUAACAAUGGCUUCUUUUUUUCUUUUUUUUUUUUUUUUUUUUUCUUUUUUGAGGUCCUUUCCUAUUGAAAGGGGCGAUAGCAUAUUAAACUCACACACACAACACGGAUGCUAGGACUCGAACCCAAGACCUUGUCUGAGGGAGUAAAUACUCCAAACCACUACACUAGUGGGUCCUUUGCAACAAUGGCUUCUUUAAAAAAUGUAACCGUUCACCCUUUUUUUUUUUUUAUGAUAUUUUUCUUUCUAUUUCAGUGAAGGUAAAUAACAAAAUAAUUAAGUUUGAAGGGCGGAUUACAACUUGCAGGGAGUGACAGAAUUUUUAUGACAAAAAUUGAACAUAUUCAAGUGGCACAAUCUAGCGAAUUACACUGUUAUAUAUCUGAACACAAAGGACAGUCCCAAUUAGGAAUUUUUUUAAAAGUAUAUAUAGCAUAAAUGAACUUAACCAAGUUGGUUAGACCGGAUGUGUUCCCCACUCUACAUUCGAGUUCGAAUCCCCCACUCCAUAGUUUAAUUUAGAUUAAAGUAGAAUAUCACUUAUAUAAAACUAGCCUCUCCACAAGAGCGGGCCUUUUAAAAAAAAAAAAUUAUUUUAGAAUUAAAAAAAAUAAUGGAUAGUUGUGUUCCAUAAAAAUGGGAUCUAUUAUCUGAUUUUUCUUAUAAUUAUAAUUUUUUUUAAUAUGAAAAAGUGUGAAUUUACCAUGUUAUCCUCAUUUAAUUAAUAAUUUUAAUUCUUAAUGUUUGGAUUAACCAAAGGCAUUUUCUG
RNAcentral lists this long non-coding RNA (1245 nucleotides) under Prunus persica (peach). RNAcentral's name for it is "long non-coding RNA (PPER_LNC006308)". The record is from RNAcentral. Lineage: Eukaryota; Viridiplantae; Streptophyta; Magnoliopsida; Rosales; Rosaceae.